RNAcentral lists this transfer RNA (69 nucleotides) under Trichophyton mentagrophytes. RNAcentral describes it as "tRNA-Lys". It matches the Rfam family "tRNA". Rfam says of the family: Transfer RNA (tRNA) molecules are approximately 80 nucleotides in length. The record is from RNAcentral. Lineage: Eukaryota; Fungi; Ascomycota; Eurotiomycetes; Onygenales; Arthrodermataceae.
GAGACUUUAGUUCAAUGGUAGAACAUAUGACUAAUCAUUAUAGUACGGGUUCGAAUCCUGUAAGUCUUA